RNAcentral lists this transfer RNA (87 nucleotides) under Tunturiibacter gelidiferens. RNAcentral's name for it is "tRNA-Leu". It matches the Rfam family "tRNA". From Rfam's summary of the family: Transfer RNA (tRNA) molecules are approximately 80 nucleotides in length. The record is from RNAcentral. Lineage: Bacteria; Pseudomonadati; Acidobacteriota; Terriglobia; Terriglobales; Acidobacteriaceae.
GCCCGGAUGGUGAAAUCGGCAGACACAGCGGACUUAAAAUUCGCAGAGAGCAAUCUCGUGGGGGUUCAAGUCCCCCUCCGGGCACCA